AGGCAGUAAUAAAAAGAAGCAGCUAGUCUUACACUCGUGAUCACCUCUCGUUUCUGGAGUCGUCAUUUUGAAUUAAUCAGUAGCUGGUUUGUUCCUGAAAGGAUCAGAAUAUUUCCU
Molecule: long non-coding RNA, 117 nt
Filed under: Struthio camelus australis
Lineage: Eukaryota; Metazoa; Chordata; Aves; Struthioniformes; Struthionidae
Description: lncRNA (ENSSCUG00000015756.1)
Source: RNAcentral